This 3292-nucleotide long non-coding RNA is filed under the name Megachile rotundata (alfalfa leafcutting bee). RNAcentral's name for it is "uncharacterized LOC105662385". The record is from RNAcentral. Lineage: Eukaryota; Metazoa; Arthropoda; Insecta; Hymenoptera; Megachilidae.
UAAAAUAAUACAUCAGCAUUUUAUUAAAUAAUCAUCCUAUUUCAUAUGUACAUCUAGCUUUCCCUAGGAUAAACAGAUGAAGCAAGUAGGUUUAGUAUUCAUUUCAAUGCGAGUUGGUUCACUCGGUAAUCAGUAAAACGCUAAUGAACUCGAUUCGGGUCUGUUUGUCAAAUCACCAACGUAAAUUGUACCUAGGCAUAAAGCCUAAUAAUUCUUGAAUAUUAAUCACACCGUAUUAACGGUGCAAAUCGAACUUGAUUGUAGUCGUGAAUAUUUCACAAGCUGAGAUGAAGAAGAAUCAUUAAAAACUACCCUUACAAUCAAUUACAUAUUGCUUUAAUAGUACAUAAAAUUAUUUUGAAAUUCUAACAUAAUAAAAAUAACAUGAUUCUGAAAUACUACCACCUCCCUUGAAGUCAUGCAACCCUAGUGUACUGUAAAUAUCAAUAUACAUAAUUGCAAAUAUAAAAUAUAAAUAUUGAAGUAAAUAGUAGACCUAUGUCGUUAAGUAUCUAUAAGAUACCGACAAUCUAUAUAUCCGUAAGUAUUAAUAAGAUGCCGACAAUAGAUACCAUUAGUAUCAAUAAGAUAUCGUUAAUCUGUAUUCGAUAACAGCUCCCCUGAAUUUCAUUUGCCCAAACGAAACGACUGAACCGAUACGAAGUCACGCAAAAGAGAAACAAAAGAGACAAAUACGUAGAAUGUUUGUCCAACUGGUCACCGAGAUCGAAAGGAUUCUCGUGGCAAGCUACGGUUUCCCAGCCUCUUGUUCUCAGCGACUCGAUCACGGACAAAAAGACCCGCGAAAGUGAUUCCAGGCACGCGUUCGUCCCCUUUGCCGAUUAAUUUCGCUGCCACUGCAAGACGAAACGACAAGUUAGUCGACUUUUAACCGCUGGCCAACCUGACCGGGCAGGUGCGCGAUCUUUCCUUUUUGAGGAAUCUGAGGAAGCUACGAACCGGUGGAUGCAACGGCGAAAGAAAGAGAUUGAAAUCUGCGGUUUCGAGCCGCCUGCGAGAAUGAAAUCAUCCGUUAUGUCAGUGAAGACCAAGGAACAAUUAAUUAUAAAUGACACAACAAUCGAGGAAAUCGUAGGUUAGAGGUAAACGUCAUAGUGCACAGGUUGGGUGAACACUUUCUAAGACAUUCUUCAGUGAAGCAACUGAUUAGAAAAAUACAAUGAGUAAUUGUUCGAGUGCUGAAGGACGAACGAAAUAAAAAGGUCCCCCAAUUGAAUCGUUCGACCGCAGUGGUUUCACGGAAGGAACGCAAAAAGGAAGGACUGGUCAUCGAUCGGAUGGAACCCGGAGGUCGAUAAUAACGGCGUAACAGGGAUCCCUCACAGCAAAUAAACGUCUCAAGCUUUCAAUUAUGAACUCGGAUCACUGUCGCUUACCCCUAUUUUACAACAAACCCCGUCUAGAAACCCCCUUCCGAGAACACCGUCACGAGGAAGCAACGACCGGCGAAGAGAAUUCAAGUAGACGAGUCCGGUGAAAAAGCUUCGGGAAAACUUCGAGGGGAUCGGACACUGGAAGGACCGUGACAGACGUACUGGAAGGAUCGAGGAAAGAAAAGAUGGGGUAAAGUUGAGGGUGUGUCACGGUGAUUUUACGUCCAAGAAAGUCGCCCAAGUCGUCGUUUCGCUGGAAGCUGGCCAAAUGCACUUAAUGUUCUAUCAGGAUCCGGCAAGUUCGCCUUUACACAUCAUUUCUGUCACUCGCAAACUUUUUCUGAAUUAUUUCCUGCUUUACCGACUGCGCACACUGCGUGUAAGAUGGUGGACUUAAAUGAGAUUUAAAGGAGAAAUGUUUGACAAAAUGAAGGCUGACUUGAAGGACUUAUGUGACUCUCAAGGUUCUAUCUAAUAACAGAUGCAUGUAUGUUAAAUUGAAGAAUUCAUAGAAGCAGUGGUUUAGGUAAAAUUAUAAAUUGCAAAGGUUUAAGUAUAAGAACAAAUGAAGUGUAUGCAUCAACGAAAGACAUAGCUAGCCUAAGACUUUCAAUUGAAUUUCAUGAAACUAGUAUAAGUUCACAAGAUGACUCCUGGUACCGAAAUGAGGAUACCAAAAGGAGCGAAUGAAAGGUUACGAUGAAAUAAAAAAAUAUAUUCCAAGUCUCAAAUGUUUAGGAUCAGCCAUUAAGCCGUUUGAGAAGCUCUAUAAAUUCCUAGAGGCCAUGUAGAGCGUGAAUACACUAAAAAGCAGAGAUGUCCCUAGCGGACUAACACAGCAGAUAAGAGAGCAACAAAGGAAAAGUUGCACGUGAGUGAUCAACGCGGAACAAACGGCAAAGUUCAGAUAACCCCCGUAUUUACCACAGCAGACACAACUGGGUGUCUAACAUCCCUCGACUACUUCGAACGAUUCUCGUAAAUAGAAAAACAGAGAUACGGUGAAAGCAUUCGUAACCCUCCUGAGGAGAUCGACGUCCACCCUCGGAUCCAGGGUGUAUACUUUACCACCUCUGACCGACGGAAGCCACUUCGUAGAACAAAAAAGAGCAGGACAAACGGGGAUGACGUUUAUCGAUUUCAGCAACACAGGGCCAAGAUAAAAGCGAUUUCUAAAAAAGUCUGGGAAACCGGUGGUGUGCUUUGAUCAUCCCUCGGUUAACGCCGGAUAGCGAAGCGGUUAUUUUUGUUUCGUCUGUUUAUUCGGUCGAUUUACGUGUUUACAGCGAUGUGUUCCCGCUGGAAAGAUACACAAAUGUUUGAAACGAUACAGGAGACACGUUCCCCUGCGGGGGAGAAACGAUACGAGGAUUUGGGGAGAUUUGUAACUUUGAAAGUUAGAUUUCUUUGUGUUCGAACAAGAUGAGCUUGCGAUACUUUUUGCGGUUGUUCGAACUUUUUCGACUGGAAGCGGAUUGGAGAUGUAAUUAAACUUCGUAUUGGUAUAAUUUGGAUUUUGAGGAUAUUAGCUACUAUUUCGUUGUACAUUUUCAUAAGAGGUUAACUAGGAAAAGCACUGUAAUCUGAAUAAUUACAGUUAUUGCGUACUAUAUUCUCGACAUGGAAUUAGAUAUACUAAUAGAAACUUUCAGAUCUAUCAAGAAUUGUACAGACUUAAAAAGGAAAUAAUUACGAAACCAUCAAAGUGUUAAAACUAAUUACUCCACAGAUAAGAGGCACAUAAAAAUGCUGAUAUAUUCAUAAAACGAGUAAAUAUGAACGAGAUACUUUACGAAAUAAAAUAAAAAUACAUGAAUUGCUAAAUCUGCGGUAUUUCAGUGUAAUUAAAUAACUCUAUCGCUUGAUAAAUUUUUAUCUAAAACGCGCGUGAUCAUGUA